UACGUAGGGUGCAAGCGUUGUCCGGAAUUAUUGGGCGUAAAGAGCUCGUAGGCGGUUUGUCGCGUCUGCUGUGAAAACCCGAGGCUCAACCUCGGGCCUGCAGUGGGUACGGGCAGACUAGAGUGCGGUAGGGGAGAUUGGAAUUCCUGGUGUAGCGGUGGAAUGCGCAGAUAUCAGGAGGAACACCGGUGGCGAAGGCGGUUCUCUGGGCCUGUACUGACGCUGAGGAGCGAAAGCAUGGGGAGCGAACAGG
This 253-nucleotide ribosomal RNA is filed under the name uncultured bacterium. Its description in RNAcentral is "partial 16S ribosomal RNA". It matches the Rfam family "Bacterial small subunit ribosomal RNA", at positions 524 to 776 of the family's 1533-position model. The record is from RNAcentral.